Molecule: long non-coding RNA, 2476 nt
Filed under: Nicotiana benthamiana
Lineage: Eukaryota; Viridiplantae; Streptophyta; Magnoliopsida; Solanales; Solanaceae
Description: long non-coding RNA (NBEN_LNC024831)
Source: RNAcentral
AAUCACUUACUAUUGUCCGAAAAAGGUAAUUUAACCCCAGACAUUCAUCUCCGUCCUCGUACAGAGUCUUAACACCGCCGGAGCCACCACUGGCGGUGAACGCUGCCAUGUCCAAAUCCCACUAAAAUAACACCCCAACUUCUCCUUCUCAUCCUCUUUCCAGAUAUACCAGCCUUUUCUUCAAAAUCCCUCCCUAUCUCGUCGAAUAAUGGUUCAAAGUUUUUCGGCCACAACUCAAUCUUGUCCAAAUCCAUACAAAUCAACACCAUAGAAGCGCCUCACUACCCUCAUCCCAAACUGCUAAUUGGUUACCCUCAAAUAUGCCCGAAAUUGGUUGAAUAUCAAAUUGAAGUUUCUCUAGUCAAAACCCAAGUCGCCCCAAUUAGCCUCAAAAUAGUAGCAGACAUUCCUGGGGCCUUCCCCAUGACGAAUCCAAGACCAAUUACAUUCAAUUUACAUUAGAGCUGUUCAAAUUUGUAUGUGAAGGCUGACCAGACUUUGUUUAGUAAGUUGGCUCCCUUCCUUUCCCUUUCAGUUUCAAUUAUUCAUCCAUCUCUGUUUUUCUUGCUAGCAUGCAAUUUUAAUUAAAGUGUUAAAAUUAUUUCGACAAUAAUUAGUUUGCACAAUUAGUUUAAUUUGGUAGUUUCUUGUUUAGCUUGACUUCUGUCUUUAAUUCUGUUAGAAUAAUAAUUGAUAACGGUUUAUUUCUAAUUGUUGAUUGAGUUGGUCAAUAAUCGAACAAAAUUAUGUAAUUAGUGCAUGCUUCAGUUAAAUAACUGGUUAGUUUGUCCAUGUUUAGUUCGGUUGUUUAGAGCACAAUUAGUUAAUAAAAUGUUAGUUUGGGGUUUUCAUUUGAGGAUUGAAUGAGAGAUUCUAGCUAGAAUACCCUAGGAGCUUCUAGAUGGGGGGUUCUAAGUAAUUUGCAAAGAAUAACAGUAGUUAUUUGUGUGCCAAGUUAAUAAUUAAUGGGUAUAAACUAAUUAGAGGAGGGGACUAAAAGGAAAAUGAAAAUCUUCUUGGUUGCCUAUAAAAGAGCAUGACAAUUGACAUGUUAAGGGUCUUUUUCUUUUCAGCUGAAGAUAUAUCCAGAAUUUCCUCUCUCUGAUUUUCAGAUCUGAAGCUUGAAUUCCAGCCUCCAAAAUUCAAAAAAAAAAAAUUAACAGAGAAAAUCAAAAAAAAAAAAAAAAGUAGUUACUAUUUCAUUGGUCAUUUGGGUUGAAUUUAAUUUUGGUGAUUAAUUUCAAGUUCUGGUUCCAUACUUGGUAGCUGAGCACUAAUUUCUAGUGUGAUUGAACCGUGUGGGUUGAAUUUAGAUAGCUCAUGGUUUGCUUUGGUCCUUUACUGCUUUAUCCUCGGUAGAACUAGUAGCUGUUGGUUGGAAUAUCAAUAUCUGGGUCAAAAAUCGAUUCAAAGUCACCUUUAAUUGCUGACUGAGCUACUGCUUUGCUGCUAAAAUCUCCUCCUCUUAUUUUUUAUCUACAUUUCGAUGUGCAUUUCCUUUAUCUUCUUGAGUUGGAAUCUUGCUUCAUAUAUGUAUGAUAAGUUGGUAGAUCAAGGAAGAAAAUUGUUGUUUGCGCGUUUGAGUUCACAUAGGAUUGUUGUUAAACUUUCAAUAUUCAUGCCUACCUAUUUGAUGCCUAAUUGUAAUUAUGAAUAACUCAGGACUGUAUACCCUGUUAUGAACUAUUUGGAAAGUGUUCUAGCAUUAUGUGAGUCAUUAUUAGAUUUGUGAGAUUCUGGAGGAGCAAGCUGUCUUUAAUCUUCUAUCACUUAGUUUCCUUAUAUGAAUAAUCGUUGUAGAGUUAAUGUGUAUGUGAAUUUAAAGUAGUAUCGAUUAGAAGGCUCAUGUGUAUUGAAUCUGCCAGUUAAAACUCGUUAAUUUGGUUAGUUGUAAGGGUGUAAUUUGGUCAAUACUAAUUCCUAGGUUUUGCCACAAUUUGUGUGUGCCAGUUGUGAUUCGAAUUGUAUCCGUGAGCUAGACCUUGAGAUUGGGGAUCUCCUAAUUGAUUAGGCUAUGAAUUUGGCCCAGUGCACGUUUUAAAACACUGUUGCCCGGGCUCGGUGUCUGAUUUGGACGUAAUCGCUGGUGAACAAGCAAUGGGCUCCUAUCUGGAGCCUGUUCAUAUUGGGCUUUUAGACCCAAGGUUGAAAUACAUCUGGUCUGAUUAGGUAAAGGAGCGGCAGACUAAAGUUUUUCAUAACAUUUUAAUUAAGGCUUUUCCUUUCUUUAGGAACAAAUUAAGUAGAUAAUUGUCGCUUUUAGAUCGGCUUUAAAAUAAAGUGAGCCUCGCCUCGCCAAAUAAAACUACAAAUUGUGGGGCCCUCAAUAAAUGGUUAUUGAAACACUUAGAAUUCGGGAGGGCCGUUUAGUGAAUUUUACGGUUUUCCCCAAAAUAAUAUUGCGUUAGACUCUUUAGGCGCGAUUUAAUUAAAUUACUUUUUUAAACUCGGAUGUGUAUUGAUGCGAUCCAAAUCC